Aethina tumida (small hive beetle) is the source of this 1374-nucleotide long non-coding RNA. RefSeq lists it as uncharacterized. The transcript has 2 exons. Lineage: Eukaryota; Metazoa; Arthropoda; Insecta; Coleoptera; Nitidulidae. The record is from RefSeq and is a predicted model, not a curated record.
UCUCGCAUUAGGCGAAGUGUGGCGACCGAACGAAUCGCAGAAAUCUUUUCACUAACACUGGCAGAUGUGGUAAUGUCAGUUUCUAGUAAACUCCAGGCGCAUUUACUAUAAAUGGCGAAGCGCCCCAAUAACGGUUCAAGUUACUCAAGAAAUAAAAGUUGCGCUUGCAAUUGGGACGAACACCGAACUACAAAACCUACGACACCUUUUUUUCAGGUUCACAACGGACGCCACAUUAAAAACAUACGUCUCAUAACCGAUGUCUUUGAGCCCGGCUGCACAAUGGUAGACAACACGCCGGUAGAAUGCCUUUGUAACGUCAACACAAAAGGACUGAAUGCACCGUAAAAACAAUAAGUUGAUUUAACGGGAAUAUAAAAUGAAACGGUACCCAAGCAACUUUUAAACGUGCACAAGAGAAGCUGUAGUGCUGUCUCCGACUGUGCUUCAUCCAGUCAUCCGGGUGUUUACGUGAGGACAAUGGAUUAGAAUCUGGUCGGGAUGGAAAGUUUCACGGAAAUGCAGGCUACUCCUCGCGUCGCGAACAAUGGGAGGAAAAAACUGUACAUUUUUCAUGCACACACGCGCCUUUGUGUUAAUAUUUUCAUUGUCCAGAUUUUAGAGGGCUGAUACGGGGAAGCUGGGGGAAAUGCAGAUUUUAUAGUGUGUUGAGAAAUAAAAAUUUAAAUAAGCUUUCACGUACUAGGAAGAUACUAAUUGAUAUUUGUAUAUACUAGGUGUUUCUAAAAUAGGUAAACAAGUAGAAUAAUCUAAUAACAAUUUAAUUAAAGAAUGGCUCGCUUCCCAAGGAGUACCAACACAGCUCAAUGCCCAGACCUCAAUCCAAGUGAAAACCUUUGAAAUUGGUUUGAAAAUCCAUGUAAAAAAACGGUCAAUUUUGAAUGUCACCAGAUCUUAAUCCAUUUGAUUUUACAGUGUGGUGCCAAAUGAAAGAGCAUUAGCAGCCAAUAACAUUUCAACAUUUCAAAGAAUCUAAAAUGUAUUUAAUGAAAUUAACGAAGGGUAAAAACUGACCACAGAAGAGAGAAGAAGAAAUGCAAGUUAAUAAUUACCAUAUUUAAACUUGAUUGGACCAAAGGUUAUGGAAAUAUGAGAAACAAUUUUUGAAAUUUAAAUUUGAGGGGCUUCUUCAGGAGAAACUUUAGAAAAAAGAAAUAUAUUUAGAUUUUCUUCACAAUUGGACAUGUUCUAUUGCCCCUAAGUUUUGAUCAACAAUUUUAGGAACAUCUUGUAUAAACUUAACAUUUUGGAUUACCUUCCUCUGAACCUCAAGAAAGGAGAUAAAGACUGAAAGGAUAUAUCAUAUAGUAGAUGUUUAUAUAUUUUUUUUAAUACAAACAGUUUCACAACGUU